GACGAACGCUGGCGGCGUGCCUAAUACAUGCAAGUCGAACGCUGAAGGAGGAGCUUGCUUCUCCGGAUGAGUUGCGAACGGGUGAGUAACGCGUAGGUAACCUGCCUGGUAGCGGGGGAUAACUAUUGGAAACGAUAGCUAAUACCGCAUAAGAGUAGAUGUCGCAUGACAUUUGCUUAAAAGGUGCAACUGCACCACUACCAGAUGGACCUGCGUUGUAUUAGCUAGUUGGUGAGGUAACGGCUCACCAAGGCAACGAUACAUAGCCGACCUGAGAGGGUGAUCGGCCACACUGGGACUGAGACACGGCCCAGACUCCUACGGGAGGCAGCAGUAGGGAAUCUUCGGAAAUGGACGGAAGGCUGACCGAGCAAAGCCGGGUGAGGGAAGAAGGGUUUCGGAUCGUAAAGCUCUGUUGUAAGAGAAGAAAGAGUGGGAGAGUGGAAAGUUCACACUGUGACGGUAUCUUACCAGAAAGGGACGGCUAACUACGUG
This 495-nucleotide ribosomal RNA is filed under the name uncultured bacterium. Its description in RNAcentral is "partial 16S ribosomal RNA". It matches the Rfam family "Bacterial small subunit ribosomal RNA", at positions 28 to 507 of the family's 1533-position model. The record is from RNAcentral.